This 424-nucleotide ribosomal RNA is filed under the name uncultured eukaryote. RNAcentral describes it as "SSU rRNA". It matches the Rfam family "Eukaryotic small subunit ribosomal RNA", at positions 592 to 1016 of the family's 1831-position model. The record is from RNAcentral.
CAAUAGCGUAUAUUAAAGUUGUUGCGGUUAAAAGCUCGUAGUUGGAUUUCUGCUGAGGACGACCGGUCCGCCCUCUGGGUGAGUAUCUGGCUUGGGCCUUUGGCAUCUUCUUGGGAGAAACGUAGCUGCACUUGACUGUGUGGUGCGGUAUCCAGGACUUUACUUGAGGAAAUUAGAGUGUUUCAAGCAGGCACACGCCUUGAAUACAUUAGCAUGGAAUAAUAAGAUAGGACCUUGGUUCUAUUUUGUUGGUUUCUAGAGCUGAGGUAAUGAUUAAUAGGAUAGUUGGGGGCAUUCGUAUUUAACUGUCAGAGGUGAAAUUCUUGGAUUUGUUAAAGACGAACUUCUGCGAAAAAGCUUUUACCAAAGAUGUUUUCAUUUAAUCAAAGAACGAAAGUUAGGGGAUCGAAGACGAUUAGAUACC